UACGUAGGUGGCAAGCGUUGUCCGGAAUUAUUGGGCGUAAAGCGCGCGCAGGCGGUCCUUUAAGUCUGAUGUGAAAGCCCACGGCUCAACCGUGGAGGGUCAUUGGAAACUGGGGGACUUGAGUGCAGAAGAGGAAAGCGGAAUUCCAAGUGUAGCGGUGAAAUGCGUAGAGAUUUGGAGGAACACCAGUGGCGAAGGCGGCUUUCUGGUCUGUAACUGACGCUGAGGCGCGAAAGCGUGGGGAGCAAACAGG
RNAcentral lists this ribosomal RNA (253 nucleotides) under uncultured bacterium. RNAcentral describes it as "partial 16S ribosomal RNA". It matches the Rfam family "Bacterial small subunit ribosomal RNA", at positions 524 to 776 of the family's 1533-position model. The record is from RNAcentral.